GCUUCCUUAGCUCAGCUGGUAGAGCGCAUCCAUGGUAAGGAUGAGGUCACCGGUUCAAGCCCGGUAGGAAGCUCCA
RNAcentral lists this transfer RNA (76 nucleotides) under Bacillaceae bacterium JMAK1. RNAcentral describes it as "tRNA-Thr". It matches the Rfam family "tRNA". Rfam says of the family: Transfer RNA (tRNA) molecules are approximately 80 nucleotides in length. Their secondary structure includes four short double-helical elements and three loops (D, anti-codon, and T loops). RNAcentral also lists the same sequence under 2 other names. Lineage: Bacteria; Bacillati; Bacillota; Bacilli; Caryophanales; Bacillaceae. The record is from RNAcentral.